RNAcentral lists this non-coding RNA (32 nucleotides) under Mus musculus (house mouse). The record is from RNAcentral. Lineage: Eukaryota; Metazoa; Chordata; Mammalia; Rodentia; Muridae.
UGAAGGCUUUACAACAACACUAUUUGCAACUU